UAUCGACUGCCCUAGCAGACAAGCCAAGACGAUAGAUUAAUUUUAUUUAAGGAGAAUAAAUUAUG
Molecule: non-coding RNA, 65 nt
Filed under: unclassified sequences
Source: RNAcentral